Molecule: ribosomal RNA, 496 nt
Filed under: uncultured bacterium
Lineage: Bacteria
Description: partial 16S ribosomal RNA
Rfam family: Bacterial small subunit ribosomal RNA
Source: RNAcentral
AUGAACGCUGGCGGCGUGCCUCAUACCUGCCAGUCGAGCGAACAGAUGAGGAGCUUGCUCCUCUGACGUUAGCGGCGGACGGGUGAGUAACACGUGGAUAACCUACCUAUAAGACUGGGAUAACUUCGGGAAACCGGAGCUAAUACCGGAUAAUAUAUUGAACCGCAUGGUUCAAUAGUGAAAGACGGUUUUGCUGUCACUUAUAGAUGGAUCCGCGCCGCAUUAGCUAGUUGGUAAGGUAACGGCUUACCAAGGCAACGAUGCGUAGCCGACCUGAGAGGGUGAUCGGCCACACUGGAACUGAGACACGGUCCAGACUCCUACGGGAGGCAGCAGUAGGGAAUCUUCCGCAAUGGGCGAAAGCUUGACGGAGCAACGCCGCGUGAGUGAUGAAGGUCUUCGGAUCGUAAAACUCUGUUAUUAGGGAAGAACAAAUGUGUAAGUAACUAUGCACGUCUUGACGGUACCUAAUCAGAAAGCCACGGCUAACUACGUG